GCACCAGCUUGCUGGUGUGGAUGAGUGGCGAACGGGUGAGUAAUACGUGAGUAACCUGCCCUUGACUCUGGGAUAAGCCCGGGAAACUGGGUCUAAUACUGGAUGCUACAUGUCACCGCAUGGUGGUGUGUGGAAAGGGUUUACUGGUCUUGGAUGGGCUCACGGCCUAUCAGCUUGUUGGUGAGGUAAUGGCUCACCAAGGCGACGACGGGUAGCCGGCCUGAGAGGGUGACCGGCCACACUGGGACUGAGACACGGCCCAGACUCCUACGGGAGGCAGCAGUGGGGAAUAUUGCACAAUGGGCGAAAGCCUGAUGCAGCGACGCCGCGUGAGGGAUGACGGCCUUCGGGUUGUAAACCUCUUUCAGCAGGGAAGAAGCCACAAGUGACGGUACCUGCAGAAGAAGCGCCGGCUAACUACGUGCCAGCAGCCGCGGUAAUACGUAGGGCGCAAGCGUUGUCCGGAAUUAUUGGGCGUAAAGAGCUCGUAGGCGGUUUGUCGCGUCUGCUGUGAAAGCCCGGGGCUUAACCCCGGGUGUGCAGUGGGUACGGGCAGACUAGAGUGCAGUAGGGGAGACUGGAAUUCCUGGUGUAGCGGUGGAAUGCGCAGAUAUCAGGAGGAACACCGAUGGCGAAGGCAGGUCUCUGGGCUGUUACUGACGCUGAGGAGCGAAAGCAUGGGGAGCGAACAGGAUUAGAUACCCUGGUAGUCCAUGCCGUAAACGUUGGGCACUAGGUGUGGGGGACAUUCCACGUUUUCCGCGCCGUAGCUAACGCAUUAAGUGCCCCGCCUGGGGAGUACGGCCGCAAGGCUAAAACUCAAAGGAAUUGACGGGGGCCCGCACAAGCGGCGGAGCAUGCGGAUUAAUUCGAUGCAACGCGAAGAACCUUACCAAGGCUUGACAUAUACCCG
Molecule: ribosomal RNA, 913 nt
Filed under: Kocuria palustris
Lineage: Bacteria; Bacillati; Actinomycetota; Actinomycetes; Micrococcales; Micrococcaceae
Description: bacterial SSU rRNA
Rfam family: Bacterial small subunit ribosomal RNA
Source: RNAcentral